RNAcentral lists this ribosomal RNA (2500 nucleotides) under synthetic metagenome. RNAcentral's name for it is "bacterial LSU rRNA". It matches the Rfam family "Bacterial large subunit ribosomal RNA", at positions 418 to 2925 of the family's 2925-position model. The record is from RNAcentral.
CGGAGCACGUGAAAUUCCGUCGGAAUCUGGGAGGACCAUCUCCUAAGGCUAAAUACUCUCUAGUGACCGAUAGUGAACCAGUACCGUGAGGGAAAGGUGAAAAGCACCCCGGAAGGGGAGUGAAAUAGAACCUGAAACCGUGUGCUUACAAGUAGUCAGAGCCCGUUAAUGGGUGAUGGCGUGCCUUUUGUAGAAUGAACCGGCGAGUUACGAUCUGAUGCAAGGUUAAGCAGCAAAUGUGGAGCCGCAGCGAAAGCGAGUCUGAAUAGGGCGUUGAGUAUUUGGUCGUAGACCCGAAACCAGGUGAUCUACCCUUGGUCAGGUUGAAGUUCAGGUAACACUGAAUGGAGGACCGAACCGACUUACGUUGAAAAGUGAGCGGAUGAACUGAGGGUAGCGGAGAAAUUCCAAUCGAACCUGGAGAUAGCUGGUUCUCUCCGAAAUAGCUUUAGGGCUAGCCUCAAGUGAUGAUUAUUGGAGGUAGAGCACUGUUUGGACGAGGGGCCCCUCUCGGGUUACCGAAUUCAGACAAACUCCGAAUGCCAAUUAAUUUAACUUGGGAGUCAGAACAUGGGUGAUAAGGUCCGUGUUCGAAAGGGAAACAGCCCAGACCACCAGCUAAGGUCCCAAAAUAUAUGUUAAGUGGAAAAGGAUGUGGCGUUGCCCAGACAACUAGGAUGUUGGCUUAGAAGCAGCCAUCAUUUAAAGAGUGCGUAAUAGCUCACUAGUCGAGUGACACUGCGCCGAAAAUGUACCGGGGCUAAACAUAUUACCGAAGCUGUGGAUUGUCCUUUGGACAAUGGUAGGAGAGCGUUCUAAGGGCGUUGAAGCAUGAUCGUAAGGACAUGUGGAGCGCUUAGAAGUGAGAAUGCCGGUGUGAGUAGCGAAAGACGGGUGAGAAUCCCGUCCACCGAUUGACUAAGGUUUCCAGAGGAAGGCUCGUCCGCUCUGGGUUAGUCGGGUCCUAAGCUGAGGCCGACAGGCGUAGGCGAUGGAUAACAGGUUGAUAUUCCUGUACCACCUAUAAUCGUUUUAAUCGAUGGGGGGACGCAGUAGGAUAGGCGAAGCGUGCGAUUGGAUUGCACGUCUAAGCAGUAAGGCUGAGUAUUAGGCAAAUCCGGUACUCGUUAAGGCUGAGCUGUGAUGGGGAGAAGACAUUGUGUCUUCGAGUCGUUGAUUUCACACUGCCGAGAAAAGCCUCUAGAUAGAAAAUAGGUGCCCGUACCGCAAACCGACACAGGUAGUCAAGAUGAGAAUUCUAAGGUGAGCGAGCGAACUCUCGUUAAGGAACUCGGCAAAAUGACCCCGUAACUUCGGGAGAAGGGGUGCUCUUUAGGGUUAACGCCCAGAAGAGCCGCAGUGAAUAGGCCCAAGCGACUGUUUAUCAAAAACACAGGUCUCUGCUAAACCGUAAGGUGAUGUAUAGGGGCUGACGCCUGCCCGGUGCUGGAAGGUUAAGAGGAGUGGUUAGCUUCUGCGAAGCUACGAAUCGAAGCCCCAGUAAACGGCGGCCGUAACUAUAACGGUCCUAAGGUAGCGAAAUUCCUUGUCGGGUAAGUUCCGACCCGCACGAAAGGCGUAACGAUUUGGGCACUGUCUCAACGAGAGACUCGGUGAAAUCAUAGUACCUGUGAAGAUGCAGGUUACCCGCGACAGGACGGAAAGACCCCGUGGAGCUUUACUGUAGCCUGAUAUUGAAAUUCGGCACAGCUUGUACAGGAUAGGUAGGAGCCUUUGAAACGUGAGCGCUAGCUUACGUGGAGGCGCUGGUGGGAUACUACCCUAGCUGUGUUGGCUUUCUAACCCGCACCACUUAUCGUGGUGGGAGACAGUGUCAGGCGGGCAGUUUGACUGGGGCGGUCGCCUCCUAAAAGGUAACGGAGGCGCUCAAAGGUUCCCUCAGAAUGGUUGGAAAUCAUUCAUAGAGUGUAAAGGCAUAAGGGAGCUUGACUGCGAGACCUACAAGUCGAGCAGGGUCGAAAGACGGACUUAGUGAUCCGGUGGUUCCGCAUGGAAGGGCCAUCGCUCAACGGAUAAAAGCUACCCCGGGGAUAACAGGCUUAUCUCCCCCAAGAGUUCACAUCGACGGGGAGGUUUGGCACCUCGAUGUCGGCUCAUCGCAUCCUGGGGCUGUAGUCGGUCCCAAGGGUUGGGCUGUUCGCCCAUUAAAGCGGUACGCGAGCUGGGUUCAGAACGUCGUGAGACAGUUCGGUCCCUAUCCGUCGUGGGCGUAGGAAAUUUGAGAGGAGCUGUCCUUAGUACGAGAGGACCGGGAUGGACAUACCUCUGGUGUACCAGUUGUCGUGCCAACGGCAUAGCUGGGUAGCUAUGUGUGGACGGGAUAAGUGCUGAAAGCAUCUAAGCAUGAAGCCCCCCUCAAGAUGAGAUUUCCCAACUUCGGUUAUAAGAUCCCUCAAAGAUGAUGAGGUUAAUAGGUUCGAGGUGGAAGCAUGGUGACAUGUGGAGCUGACGAAUACUAAUCGAUCGAAGACUUAAUCAA